AGCGAACGCUGGCGGCAGGCUUAACACAUGCAAGUCGAACGAAUCCUUCGGGGAUUAGUGGCGGACGGGUGAGUAACACGUGGGAACGUGCCUUUUGGUUCGGAACAACACAGGGAAACUUGUGCCUAAUACCGGGAUGUGCCCUUCGGGGAAAGGAUUUAUCGCCAUUAGAGCGGCCCGCGUCUGAUUAGCUUGUUGGUGAGGUAAAGGCUCACCAAGGCUACGAUCAGUAGCUGGUCNGAGAGGAUGAUCAGCCAC
Molecule: ribosomal RNA, 258 nt
Filed under: uncultured bacterium
Lineage: Bacteria
Description: partial 16S ribosomal RNA
Rfam family: Bacterial small subunit ribosomal RNA
Source: RNAcentral